CGUAGGGUGCGAGCGUUAAUCGGAAUUACUGGGCGUAAAGCGUGCGCAGGCGGUUAUAUAAGACAGAUGUGAAAUCCCCGGGCUCAACCUGGGACCUGCAUUUGUGACUGUAUAGCUAGAGUACGGUAGAGGGGGAUGGAAUUCCGCGUGUAGCAGUGAAAUGCGUAGAUAUGCGGAGGAACACCGAUGGCGAAGGCAAUCCCCUGGACCUGUACUGACGCUCAUGCACGAAAGCGUGGGGAGCAAACAGGAUUAGAUACCCUGGUAGUCCACGCCCUAAACAAUGUCAACUGGUUGUUGGGUCUUCACUGACUCAGUAACGAAGCUAACGCGUGAAGUUGACCGCCUGGGGAGUACGGCCGCAAGGUUG
This 370-nucleotide ribosomal RNA is filed under the name uncultured organism. Its description in RNAcentral is "bacterial SSU rRNA". It matches the Rfam family "Bacterial small subunit ribosomal RNA", at positions 526 to 896 of the family's 1533-position model. The record is from RNAcentral.